RNAcentral lists this ribosomal RNA (465 nucleotides) under Vreelandella stevensii. RNAcentral describes it as "partial 16S ribosomal RNA". It matches the Rfam family "Bacterial small subunit ribosomal RNA", at positions 338 to 795 of the family's 1533-position model. The record is from RNAcentral. Lineage: Bacteria; Pseudomonadati; Pseudomonadota; Gammaproteobacteria; Oceanospirillales; Halomonadaceae.
CCUACGGGCGGCAGCAGUGGGGAAUAUUGGACAAUGGGGGGAACCCUGAUCCAGCCAUGCCGCGUGUGUGAAGAAGGCCCUCGGGUUGUAAAGCACUUUCAGUGAGGAAGAACGCCUGGUGGUUAAUACCCAUCAGGAAAGACAUCACUCACAGAAGAAGCACCGGCUAACUCCGUGCCAGCAGCCGCGGUAAUACGGAGGGUGCGAGCGUUAAUCGGAAUUACUGGGCGUAAAGCGCGCGUAGGUGGCUUGAUAAGCCGGUUGUGAAAGCCCCGGGCUCAACCUGGGAACGGCAUCCGGAACUGUCAAGCUAGAGUGCAGGAGAGGAAGGUAGAAUUCCCGGUGUAGCGGUGAAAUGCGUAGAGAUCGGGAGGAAUACCAGUGGCGAAGGCGGCCUUCUGGACUGACACUGACACUGAGGUGCGAAAGCGUGGGUAGCAAACAGGAUUAGAUACCUUGGUAGUC